UCAAGUGACUAAGAGCACAUGGCGGAUGUCUUGGCGUCAAGAGGCGAUGAAGGACGUGGGAACCUGCGAAAAGUUCAGGGGAGCCGGUAACCAGGCUGUGAUCCUGAAAUGUCCGAAUGGGGAAACCCGGCCGUAAGGUCACUCUUACCUGAAUGCAUAGGGUAAGAGAGCGAACCUGGGGAACUGAAACAUCUAAGUACCCAGAGGAAAGGAAAUCAACCGAGACUCCGUGAGUAGCGGCGAGCGAAAGCGGAUUGCGACUUAAGUCAGUGAACGCGUUGGAAAGCGCGGCCAAAGAAGGUGAUAGCCCUGUAGUUGGAUGAUGUCGCUCAGCCCUAGAGUAGCGUCGGUGUCGUGAAACCCGGCGUGAACAUGGGGGGUCCACCCUCCAAGGCUAAGUACUACUUGACGACCGAUAGUUAACCAGUAAGGCGACUGAAUGAUGAAAACUACCCCUGCUAGGGGUGUGAAAGAGUAGCUGAAACCAUGUGCUUACACAGCGGUCAGAGCCCUUCGGGGUGAUGGCGUGCCUUUUGCAUAAUGACCCGGCGAGUUACUCUCAUUGGCGAGGUUAAGGCCUAGCGGGCCGAAGCCGAAGCGAAAGCGAGUCUGAAAUAGGCGUUGAGUCGAUGGGAGUAGACGCGAAACCUUGUGAUCUACCCAUGGCCAGGUUGAAGUUUUGGUAACACAAAAUGGAGGACCGAACCAGUACACGUUGAAAAGUGUUUGGAUGAGCUGUGGGUAGGGGUGAAAGGCCAAUCAAACUGGGAAAUAGCUCGUACUCCCCGAAAUGCAUUUAGGUGCAGCGUCGUGGUAGAGUGUUAUAGAGGUAGAGCUACUGAUAGGGCUAGGGGGCUUCACCGCCUACCAAACCCUGACAAACUCCGAAUGCUAUAACAUAUACACGGCAGUGAGGGCAUGGGUGCUAAGGUCCAUGUCCGAGAGGGAAAGAACCCAGAUCAUCAGCUAAGGCCCCCAAAUGUAUACUAAGUUGUUUUAACGUUGUGCGAUUGCAUAGACAGCUAGGAUGUUGGCUUGGAAGCAGCCAUUCAUUUAAAGAGUGCGUAACAGCUCACUGGUCGAGCGACAGGGCAUCGAUGAUGAUCGGGCAUUAAGUAUACCACCGAAGCUAAGGCAGUAUUUAUACUGGGUAGGGGAGCAUUCUAUUCUGCUAUGAA
RNAcentral lists this ribosomal RNA (1178 nucleotides) under Scrippsiella trochoidea. RNAcentral describes it as "partial Bacterial large subunit ribosomal RNA". It matches the Rfam family "Bacterial large subunit ribosomal RNA", at positions 3 to 1254 of the family's 2925-position model. The record is from RNAcentral. Lineage: Eukaryota; Dinophyceae; Peridiniales; Peridiniaceae.